CUCGUAGGCGGCUUGUCGCGUCUGCCGUGAAAACCCAGGGCUCAACUCUGGGCGUGCGGUGGGUACGGGCAGGCUAGAGUGCGGUAGGGGAGAUUGGAAUUCCUGGUGUAGCGGUGGAAUGCGCAGAUAUCAGGAGGAACACCGAUGGCGAAGGCAGAUCUCUGGGCCGUAACUGACGCUGAGGAGCGAAAGCAUGGGGAGCGAACA
Molecule: ribosomal RNA, 207 nt
Filed under: uncultured bacterium
Lineage: Bacteria
Description: partial 16S ribosomal RNA
Rfam family: Bacterial small subunit ribosomal RNA
Source: RNAcentral